GAUGAACGCUGGCGGCGUGCCUAAUACAUGCAAGUCGAGCGAACGGACGAGAAGCUUGCUUUUAUGAUGUUAUCGGCGGACGGGAGCGUAACACGUGGUUAACCUAACUAUAAGACUGGGAUAACUUCGGGAAACCGGGUCUAAUACCGGAUAAUAUUUUGAACCGCAUGGUUCAAACGUUGAAGAAGGUCUUGCUGUCAGUAAUAGCUUGAUCCGCGCUGCAUUCACUAGUUGGUAAGGUAACGGAUUAACAACGCAACGAGGGAUACCCGACCCGAGAGCGUCGUCCGACACCCUGGAUGUGAGGCACGGUCCCGACUCCUACGGGAGGCAGCGGUAGGGAAUCUUCCGCGAUGCGCGAGUGCCUGACGGAGCAACGUCGCGUGAGUGAUGAUGGUCUUCGGAUCGUAAAGCGCUGUUAUUAGGGAAGAUGAUAUGUGUAAGUACCUGUGCACAUCUUGACGGUACCGAAUCAGAAAGCUACGGCUAACUACGUG
Molecule: ribosomal RNA, 497 nt
Filed under: uncultured bacterium
Lineage: Bacteria
Description: partial 16S ribosomal RNA
Rfam family: Bacterial small subunit ribosomal RNA
Source: RNAcentral